Molecule: unclassified non-coding RNA, 733 nt
Filed under: Malassezia pachydermatis
Lineage: Eukaryota; Fungi; Basidiomycota; Malasseziomycetes; Malasseziales; Malasseziaceae
Description: partial miscellaneous RNA
Source: RNAcentral
CGCGUUUCUCGCAUGGAGGUGUGUAUCUCCAUGUAGGCAGUAUGCGAAGUGUUGUGCUUGUAGCAAUGUAGGUGUGUAUGAUACCCGAUUCUUCCUCUCUCUUAAAACGUCCGUGCGCGCCCUGAAUAUAUAAUAAGUAGAUGCAGCAGCCAAAGUGUCUAAAAUGUAGUAGUAGGAGACAGUCUCACGAAUAAAUACAGGACUCAUCUAAAAAAUAGUAGACCUCCCCCCCCCACCCAUCUAGGCACAUACAUACCUUGGCAGCAUUUGUAAUACCAACAUAGUACUCACAUACCGCUAGCACAUCUGUCACUACACAAUCUCGCCAAGGACACACGCCCAGCGACCGGGAUCGAUCCGAUUCGCUCCUCCUCCAGCCAGGCUCCACACGAUUCGUCCGCGCGGGCGGUGCAUACAAAAGAACAGCACAGCCUCGUGUGUGUGUGCCCUCCCACCCAGUGGCAGGGCACAGUACAACAUGCCUUUGCACUUGCAACACGAGAGAGAGACCACACCACCACCUUGAGAGAGACCAUGGCUGCAGCCGGCGGCGGCCCACGCCCAUAGUCACAGUACACCCCAACACAAUGCAACGCAGCAGAGCACACCAGAGCACACCGCAACGCAGCAGAGCACACCACAACACACCACAACACACAACACAAUACAACAUCCCCAUGCUAUAUACACUCUACCAACGACUCUCCUACCUACCUCUCACGCGCCAUGCCGU